Molecule: transfer RNA, 74 nt
Filed under: Candidatus Staskawiczbacteria bacterium RIFCSPHIGHO2_01_FULL_41_41
Lineage: Bacteria; Candidatus Staskawicziibacteriota
Also listed under: 2 other names
Description: tRNA-Gln
Rfam family: tRNA
About the family: Transfer RNA (tRNA) molecules are approximately 80 nucleotides in length. Their secondary structure includes four short double-helical elements and three loops (D, anti-codon, and T loops).
Source: RNAcentral
UCCGGGGUCGUCUAAUGGUAGGACAUCACUCUUUGGAAGUGAUUAUUUUGGUUCGAAUCCAAGCCCCGGAACAA